RNAcentral lists this unclassified non-coding RNA (877 nucleotides) under Hevea brasiliensis (rubber tree). Lineage: Eukaryota; Viridiplantae; Streptophyta; Magnoliopsida; Malpighiales; Euphorbiaceae. The record is from RNAcentral.
UGAUGUGAGGAUGCUAAUGAUCUGUUAUGGAAGGUGAAAGUGGUUAAGGAAAACUACUUUGAUAGGCUUCCAUGGCAGCCAGAGCUGUGAAUACCCAUAAGUCUGCAAAUAGGAUACUUUUGGUAAAAAAAAAUGAGCAAUUUAGAUUGAUUUUAUUGUUUAUAUGCAAGUUUUAUUGCUUAAAGUUAUAUUUGUAUUGCAUUUCUAAGUUUCUUUGACAAUUAGAUUGGUUAUUCUUGUGUUCCUUCUGGACAAACACUAAAUUUGAGGUGUAUUGAGGCCACCGGAGACCGUAGGCUGUUAAGAGGUUUAUCCUUACCAAUGAGGGCCAUGUAAAAUGCCAUGUAAACAAGUAAACCCUGAAUUUUAGUCAAAUUUGAACACUGAAUGCACAAUAAAAUUCAAACUUAGAAAGGAGUUUUCUAUUUAUUGUAUUUUGCUUCAACCUUUGACCUUGCUGAAUUUAUUUCAUGUCUGAUUUUCCUGGAUGUACAACAGCUGAAUGGCAGUUGUUAUUAUAUUAGCAUAAUCUCUUGCGUUCUUACUCGAUCUGAAAUUAACCUUAAUUCUUAUUGUAUUCAUGACAUUUGCUGUAUUAUCUUCUCAAGCAACUAAGCCAUUGUUACUAGGCAUGACCUUAGAUUAGAUAUUAAAAUACGUUGAUUCUUGAGAAUUUUAUUUCUUUAUGUUGUGCAGCGUGUAAAAUAUAAAAAAAGUAAAGUACAUAUAAAAUAUUAAUAUUUACGUGGUUCUCCUAUCUACGUAGAGUUAUAUACAUGGACAUGCCAUCUUUCACUAUUUUCAAUAAAAAAUCAAUUAUCAAUUGCAAGAUCAAGACUAUAAUACCUAUUAACCUAAUUACUCCCAAAACUCUCAC